GCCUCAUUCACCCACCCAGGGCCUCAUGCACCCCCCCCCCCAAGCCAGCUAGUCAUCCAAUGGAGAGAGGACAGCAGUACCAAGUGCCAGCUGGCCCAUCCCAUCCUACUGGAAAUGCUGAAAAAGAUGGAGAAGUUAACAUUUGUUUCAUCCUGGCUCUGACAGAGCUCUCCAUCAUUCAUUCAUCUGUGCCCCAUGAGGUGAAUGGCGGUGCUAUGAUUCCAGUGCUUUCUUCCUGGAAUGUGGUCCUUUUCUGGAUAGUCAGCCCUUUGUGCCUCUGGGCUCUACAUGUUUAGAUUCAGCCAACUGUGGAAUAAACAAAAACUCAGUACUU
This is a long non-coding RNA of Erinaceus europaeus (western European hedgehog), 334 nucleotides long. RefSeq lists it as uncharacterized. NCBI's taxonomy places the organism in Eukaryota, Metazoa, Chordata, Mammalia, Eulipotyphla, Erinaceidae. The record is from RefSeq and is a predicted model, not a curated record. The transcript is spliced from 2 exons.